This 279-nucleotide ribosomal RNA is filed under the name uncultured bacterium. RNAcentral describes it as "partial 16S ribosomal RNA". It matches the Rfam family "Bacterial small subunit ribosomal RNA", at positions 506 to 784 of the family's 1533-position model. The record is from RNAcentral.
UGCCAGCCGCCGCGGUAAGACGAGGGGUCCAAGCGUUGUUCGGAAUCAUUGGGCGUAAAGCGGGUGUAGGCGGCCCUAUAAGUCAGAGGUGAAAGCCCCAGGCUCAACCUGGGAAGUGCUUUUGAUACUGUAGGGCUUGAGUCCUGGAGAGGUUAGUAGAAUUCCUGGUGUAGAGGUGAAAUUCGUAGAUAUCAGGAGGAAUACCGGAUGGGAAGCCGGCUAACUGGCCAGACACUGACGCUCAGACCCGAAAGCGUGGGGAGCAAACAGGAUUAGAUA